RNAcentral lists this ribosomal RNA (462 nucleotides) under uncultured bacterium. RNAcentral's name for it is "partial 16S ribosomal RNA". It matches the Rfam family "Bacterial small subunit ribosomal RNA", at positions 338 to 795 of the family's 1533-position model. The record is from RNAcentral.
CCUACGGGGGGCUGCAGUGAGGAAUAUUGGUCAAUGGGCGGGAGCCUGAACCAGCCAAGUCGCGUGAAGGAAGAAGGUACUUAGUAUUGUAAACUUCUUUUGUCGGGGAACAAAGGCGGAGACGCGUCUCCGGAUGAGUGUACCCGAAGAAAAAGCAUCGGCUAACUCCGGGCCAGCAGCCGCGGUCAUACGUAGGAUCCGAGAAUUAUCCGGAGUGACUGGGUGUAAAGAGUUGCGUAGGUGGCAUAAUAAGUAGCUAGUGAAAUCUGGUGGCUCAACCAUUCAGACUAUUAGCUAAACUGUUAAGCUCGAGACCGUUAGGGGUAACUGGAAUUUCUAGUGUAGGAGUGAAAUCCGUAGAUAUUAGAAGGAACACCAAUAGCGUAGGCAGGUUACUGGGACGGUUCUGACACUAAGGCACGAAAGCGUAGGGAGCAAACGGGAUUAGAUACCCGAGUAGUC